Molecule: unclassified non-coding RNA, 337 nt
Filed under: soil metagenome
Description: partial contains 5.8S ribosomal RNA, internal transcribed spacer 2, and large subunit ribosomal RNA
Rfam family: 5.8S ribosomal RNA (bases 1-120)
Source: RNAcentral
GAUGAAGAACGUAGCGAAAUGCGAUAAGUAGUGUGAAUUGCAGAAUUCAGUGAAUCAUCGAAUCUUUGAACGCACAUUGCGCCCCUUGGUAUUCCAUGGGGCAUGCCUGUUCGAGCGUCAUUUGUACCUUCAAGCUCUGCUUGGUGUUGGGUGUUUGUCUCGCCUCUGCGUGUAGACUCGCCUCAAAACAAUUGGCAGCCGGCGUAUUGAUUUCGGAGCGCAGUACAUCUCGCGCUUUGCACUCCUAACGACGACGUCCAAAAGUACAUUUUUACACUCUUGACCUCGGAUCAGGUAGGGAUACCCGCUGAACUUAAGCAUAUCAAUAAGCGGAGGA